Molecule: ribosomal RNA, 467 nt
Filed under: uncultured bacterium
Lineage: Bacteria
Description: partial 16S ribosomal RNA
Rfam family: Bacterial small subunit ribosomal RNA
Source: RNAcentral
GAUGAACGCUGACAGAAUGCUUAACACAUGCAAGUCAACUUGAAUUUGGGUUUUUAACUUAGGUUUGGGUGGCGGACGGGUGAGUAACGCGUAAAGAACUUGCCUCACAGCUAGGGACAACAUUUGGAAACGAAUGCUAAUACCUAAUAUUAUGAUAAUAGGGCAUCCUAUAAUUAUGAAAGCUAUAAGCGCUGUGAGAGAGCUUUGCGUCCCAUUAGCUAGUUGGAGAGGUAACGGCUCACCAAGGCGAUGAUGGGUAGCCGGCCUGAGAGGGUGAUCGGCCACAAGGUGACUGAGACACGGCCCUUACUCCUUCGGGAGGCAGCAGUGGGGAAUAUUGGACAAUGGACCGAGAGUCUGAUCCAGCAAUUCUGUGUGCACGAUGAAGUUUUUCGGAAUGUAAAGUGCUUUCAGUUGGGAAGAAACAAAUGACGGUACCAACAGAAGAAGUGACGGCUAAAUACGUG